RNAcentral lists this long non-coding RNA (207 nucleotides) under Brassica napus (rape). Its description in RNAcentral is "long non-coding RNA (BNAP_LNC011224)". Lineage: Eukaryota; Viridiplantae; Streptophyta; Magnoliopsida; Brassicales; Brassicaceae. The record is from RNAcentral.
UGCUUUCCUUCAACGCUUAUCACAUCCACAACCAUCUAUCAAUCUACACCUUACCACAUCUUUUCAUCUUCCGGCUAUUCAGCACCAAACACUUAAAAAUGUCGAAUUCUCGAUCCAACACCAGAAUCACAGUGGAGAAUCACUUUAUAAUCUGAGUUCCUCGAGUCAUACCAAGUUCACUUUUUCACCAUCUUCUUGCUCUCUCUC